CACAGUGCAGCCAUGGUGAGUAUCACAGCUCCUUAUCCUGUGUAGAUAGACAUUUUAAACUAUUGUGAGGGAAACCUUUUAACUUUCAUGCCUUUUUUUGUUUUUCUGACUUAAACAGGCUGACAGGGGCAACAGGUAAGUCAGUAAGAGUCUCUGAAGUGCAGGAUGUUGAAUCUGCAGUGUCACUGACUGCUCUUCUUUUUUCAGGAGGGACGAGUUUCUGAAACAGCAACAGGCUUACAAAAUAAAUGCCUUCAACCUCAUUUGUAAGAUGCUGGAGUGGUGUAGGACAAGGGAAACAAAACUCUUGAUGGAUGAGAUGCUUCACAGCAUCUUCUUUCUGGCGAAAAUCUGCGUUGUCCCCUUUUCUCCAGAAGAAAUUAUCCCAGAUAAAGAGAUGCUGCAGAAGUUGUUGGCAUCAUAUCCUGAGCCUGUGAAGCAUCUGUCCAAGCUCCCCAGGAGGACUCCAUUCUCCUGUGUGCUGGAUAUGGUCAUUUUGAUGGGAAACCGUGAAAAUGAAGCCGCGGUGAAGACGAGUCUGCAAGAGAUUGCCAGGAGUCUGGAUGCAAUGUUUCCUGUCUCAACAACUAUCUGCAUCUCUCAGAAUACCAAGAAUUCGAUGAGACACUAUGGAGUGUCCAUGUCCACCACUGACCAGAAUCAGCGGGCGAUCAUGAUCACUGCCUCCUGCUGCGGCCCCUGGGAUGAUUAUGUAUCUGGUGCGGUCAUGACCUUCCUGUCAAACAAGAAAAAAAAAAAGGACACCCCGGAAUUUAAUGGGGCCAUUAAACUACCGGCGUACGUCAGAUGCCAGGCUUUCGACCUCCGCACCGGUAGCAUAAAGCCUGCCUGCCGAUCAUGUGGGGAAAUGUUUGGCCUGCCCACAAAUGAAACGCACGGCUGGCAUCAUGGUAACUGUGCCGAAGCUGAGAGUUUGAGCAACCUGCUUAAACAUGACAAAGAGGUGAAAGGAGAUGUGAGGAUCCCAUCUCCCAAAGGCACAGAGGAGAUCAGGAAGAGGGUCCAAACAGAUGUUUGUCAGAAGCUCAAGGAGAUUCUGGCAAAUAACCCUUAUCGCAUGACUUGGAGGGGUGAUUUCUACACUGCAUCAGCUAUGUAACUGUGAAGAGAGACAGAGAGAGAUGACUUGGCUCUUAUUAAAAUAUAAAUUUUACCUAUCUGCUUUGAUCUAACCCUUCGUCAUGAUGUUCACUACUCUGCCUCCUCACAGUCUUUGGGCUCAGCUGCAGUAAUGAUGACGAUGCUUUUAUUGCAGCAAUAGCAACAAACUCAGAGUGUUUCUUCUAAUGUUGCCUGCAGGACCUGUAAGACACAAUGUCAUCAACUGUACUGUAUAAAACUAUACUGUUAACCUUACUGUCUAAUGUGUGAAUAAAUGUCAUGCAAUUAAA
RNAcentral lists this long non-coding RNA (1412 nucleotides) under Salarias fasciatus (jewelled blenny). RNAcentral's name for it is "lncRNA (ENSSFAG00005010538.1)". The record is from RNAcentral. Lineage: Eukaryota; Metazoa; Chordata; Actinopteri; Blenniiformes; Blenniidae.